Molecule: ribosomal RNA, 464 nt
Filed under: uncultured Planctomycetota bacterium
Lineage: Bacteria; Pseudomonadati; Planctomycetota
Description: bacterial SSU rRNA
Rfam family: Bacterial small subunit ribosomal RNA
Source: RNAcentral
UUCGCAAUGCCCGAAAGGGUGACGAAGCGACGCCGCGUGUGGGAAGAAGGCCUUCGGGUUGUAAACCACUGUCGGGAGUUAGGAAAUGUAAGGGUGUUAAUAGCAUCCUUACUUGACUAAGGCUCCGGAGGAAGCCACGGCUAACUCUGUGCCAGCAGCCGCGGUAAUACAGAGGCGGCAAGCGUUGUUCGGAAUUAUUGGGCGUAAAGAGCACGUAGGCGGCCUUGUAAGUCAGUUGUGAAAGCCUUCUGCUUAACGGAAGAACAGCAGCUGAUACUGCAAGGCUAGAGUGCGGAAGGGGAGAGUGGAACUUCUGGUGGAGCGGUGAAAUGCGUAGAUAUCAGAAGAAACACCGGCGGCGAAGGCGACUCUCUGGUCCGUAACUGACGCUGAGUGUGCGAAAGCUAGGGGAGCAAACGGGAUUAGAUACCCCGGUAGUCCUAGCCGUAAACGAUGGGCACUAA